Molecule: long non-coding RNA, 683 nt
Organism: Sebastes umbrosus (honeycomb rockfish)
Lineage: Eukaryota; Metazoa; Chordata; Actinopteri; Perciformes; Sebastidae
Exons: 3
Source: RefSeq, a predicted model, not a curated record
UAUGCAAAGAUAACAUUGCAGUAUUGAGACCCCACAGCAAUCUCCAGUUAUUUCACACACAUUAUUAUAUGAGACAGAGUUGAUACUGAUUGAUACGUUUAGUCACUAAAGGAUCCUUUACAUAACUAAAAGUAUCAAUACCGCAGUGUAAAAAUACUCCACUUCAAGUAAAAACCCUGCAUUUAAAAUCCUACUUAUAGUGACACAUCAUGAAGACUCACUUUUUCAGUGCUCGUGCACAUACAUUUGUGUAUAUGAAGUGCCUACCAACCCACAAGCUUGGAUCAGAAAAAACGUGAUCCAACAAGCCAUUCAGAUUUGGCUCCCCUUCCUAUGUCACAUGCAGGCUCAUUAGAAUAUACCUUGUUGAAAUACAAGUAUGAACCUGAAAAUGAGCAUGAUAUGUCCCCUUUAAGUAAAAGUACAGAAGUAUUAUCAGUGAAAUGUACUGAAAAUAUCAAAAGUAAAAAAAAAAAAAAAUUGUUCUGCAGAAAACUUGUGGAACUAACAAAAGUUUGUCAUUUUUGCCCUCUAGAGGGGGCCAUUCACUUUACUUUAACUUUAUUGUCCACCUUAGUGGAAAUUUGUCUUUGGCUUCUCUAGUACAUACAAGAUAAAUUCAAACACGACACAGCAUAUCACCAGGACAAAAAAACCAAACAUACAAAAACGGUCAGCAAAAC